Molecule: ribosomal RNA, 404 nt
Filed under: uncultured bacterium
Lineage: Bacteria
Description: bacterial SSU rRNA
Rfam family: Bacterial small subunit ribosomal RNA
Source: RNAcentral
UGGGGAAUAUUGCACAAUGGGGGAAACCCUGAUGCAGCGACGCCGCGUGAAGGACGAAGUAUUUCGGUACGUAAACUUCUAUCAGCAGGGAAGAAAAUGACGGUACCUGACCAAGAAGCCCCGGCUAACUACGUGCCAGCAGCCGCGGUAAUACGUAGGGGGCAAGCGUUAUCCGGAUUUACUGGGUGUAAAGGGAGCGUAGACGGCGUCGCAAGUCUGAUGUGAAAACCCGGGGCUCAACCCCGGGAGUGCAUUGGAAACUGUGGUGCUAGAGUGUCGGAGAGGCAAGUGGAAUUCCUAGUGUAGCGGUGAAAUGCGUAGAUAUUAGGAGGAACACCAGUGGCGAAGGCGGCUUGCUGGACGAUGACUGACGUUGAGGCUCGAAAGCGUGGGGAGCAAACAGG